AGGCCUUUUGGUUGUAAAGCACUUUAAGCGAGGAGGAGGCUACCUAGAUUAAUACUUUAGGAUAGUGGACGUUACUCGCAGAAUAAGCACCGGCUAACUCUGUGCCAGCAGCCGCGGUAAUACAGAGGGUGCGAGCGUUAAUCGGAUUUACUGGGCGUAAAGCGUGCGUAGGCGGCCAAUUAAGUCAAAUGUGAAAUCCCCGAGCUUAACUUGGGAAUUGCAUUCGAUACUGGUUGGCUAGAGUAUGGGAGAGGAUGGUAGAAUUCCAGGUGUAGCGGUGAAAUGCGUAGAGAUCUGGAGGAAUACCGAUGGCGAAGGCAGCCAUCUGGCCUAAUACUGACGCUGAGGUACGAAAGCAUGGGGAGCAAACAGGAUUAGAUACCCUGGUAGUCCAUGCCGUAAACGAUGUCUACUAGCCGUUGGGGCCCUUGAGGCUUUAGUGGCGCAGCUAACGCGAUAAGUAGACCGCCUGGGGAGUACGGUCG
This 485-nucleotide ribosomal RNA is filed under the name Acinetobacter baumannii. RNAcentral describes it as "bacterial SSU rRNA". It matches the Rfam family "Bacterial small subunit ribosomal RNA", at positions 412 to 888 of the family's 1533-position model. The record is from RNAcentral. Lineage: Bacteria; Pseudomonadati; Pseudomonadota; Gammaproteobacteria; Moraxellales; Moraxellaceae.